GUGGGGAAUCUUAGACAAUGGGGGAAACCCUGAUCUAGCCAUGCCGCGUGAGCGAUGAAGGCCUUAGGGUUGUAAAGCUCUUUCAGCUGGGAAGAUAAUGACGGUACCAGCAGAAGAAGCCCCGGCUAACUCCGUGCCAGCAGCCGCGGUAAUACGGAGGGGGCUAGCGUUGUUCGGAAUUACUGGGCGUAAAGCGCGCGUAGGCGGAUUGGAAAGUUGGGGGUGAAAUCCCGGGGCUCAACCUCGGAACUGCCUUCAAAACUCCCAGUCUUGAGUUCGAGAGAGGUGAGUGGAAUUCCGAGUGUAGAGGUGAAAUUCGUAGAUAUUCGGAGGAACACCAGUGGCGAAGGCGGCUCACUGGCUCGAUACUGACGCUGAGGUGCGAAAGCGUGGGGAGCAAACAGGAUUAGAUACCCGAGUAGUCC
This 425-nucleotide ribosomal RNA is filed under the name uncultured bacterium. Its description in RNAcentral is "partial 16S ribosomal RNA". It matches the Rfam family "Bacterial small subunit ribosomal RNA", at positions 354 to 796 of the family's 1533-position model. The record is from RNAcentral.